AUUGAACGCUGGCGGCAGGCCUAACACAUGCAAGUCGAGCGGAUGAAGGGAGCUUGCUCCUGGCUUCAGCGGCGGACGGGUGAGUAAUGCCUAGGAAUCUGCCUGGUAGUGGGGGAUAACGUCCGGAAACGGGCGCUAAUACCGCACACGUUCUGAGGGAGAAAGUGGGGGAUCUUCGGACCUCACGCUAUCUGAUGAGCCUAGGUCGGAUUAGCUAGUUGGUGAGGUAAAGGCCUACCGAGGCGACGAUCCGUAACUGGUCUGAGAGGCUGAUCAGGCACACUGGAACGGAGACACGGUCCAGACUCCUACGGGAGGCAGCAGUGGGGAAUAUUGGACAAUGGGCGAAAGCCUGAUCCAGCCAUGCCGCGUGUGUGAAGAAGGUCUUCGGAUUGUAAAGCACUUUAAGUUGGGAGGAAGGGCAGUAAGUUAAUACCUUGCUGUUUUGACGUUACCAACAGAAUAAGCACCGGCUAACUUCGUG
This 484-nucleotide ribosomal RNA is filed under the name uncultured bacterium. Its description in RNAcentral is "partial 16S ribosomal RNA". It matches the Rfam family "Bacterial small subunit ribosomal RNA", at positions 30 to 507 of the family's 1533-position model. The record is from RNAcentral.